Molecule: ribosomal RNA, 594 nt
Filed under: Desmopuntius johorensis (striped barb)
Lineage: Eukaryota; Metazoa; Chordata; Actinopteri; Cypriniformes; Cyprinidae
Description: partial 16S ribosomal RNA
Rfam family: Bacterial large subunit ribosomal RNA
Source: RNAcentral
AAAACAUCGCCUCCUGCAACAUUACCAAGUAUAAGAGGUCCAGCCUGCCCAGUGACCAAGUGUUCAACGGCCGCGGUAUUUUGACCGUGCAAAGGUAGCGCAAUCACUUGUCUUUUAAAUUAAGACCGGUAUGAAUGGCUAAACGAGGGCUUAACUGUCUCCCAUUUCAAGUCAGUAAAAUUGAUCUAUCCGUGCAGAAGCGGGUAUAAUUAUACAAGACGAGAAGACCCUUUGGAGCUUUAGGUAAAAACCAACCAUGUCAAGCAACUUAAAAAUAAGUUUAAAACUUUGUGGCAUCUGGGACCUUUACCUUCGGUUGGGGCGACCAUGGAGAAAAAAAUAACCUCCAAGUGGAACGGGCCAAAGACCCUAAAACUAAGAGAGACAUCUCUAAGCAACAGAACAUCUGACCAUUAAUGAUCCGGCCUACACACGGCCGACCAACGAACCAAGUUACCCCAGGGAUAACAGCGCAAUCCUCUCCCAGAGCCCAUAUCGACGAGAGGGUUUACGACCUCGAUGUUGGAUCAGGACAUCCUAAUGGUGCAGCCGCUAUUAAGGGUUCGUUUGUUCAACGAUUAAAGUCCUACGUGA